RNAcentral lists this ribosomal RNA (699 nucleotides) under uncultured bacterium. RNAcentral describes it as "bacterial SSU rRNA". It matches the Rfam family "Bacterial small subunit ribosomal RNA", at positions 8 to 696 of the family's 1533-position model. The record is from RNAcentral.
AGAGUUUGAUCCUGGCUCAGGAUGAACGCUAGCUACAGGCUUAACACAUGCAAGUCGAGGGGAAACGAUGCGGAAGCUUGCUUCUGCAGGCGUCGACCGGCGCACGGGUGAGUAACGCGUAUCCAACCUGCCCCGAGGUAAGGAAUAAUCCGUAGAAAUGCGGUCUAAUACCUUAUGUGCUCCGAAGAGGACAUCUGAUUUGGAGUAAAGAUUUAUCGCCUUGGGAUGGGGAUGCGUCUGAUUAGAUUGUUGGCGGGGCAACGGCCCACCAAGUCACCGAUCAGUAGGGGUUCUGAGAGGAAAGUCCCCCACAUUGGAACUGAGACAUGGUCCAAACUCCUACGGGAGGCAGCAGUGAGGAAUAUUGGUCAAUGGGUGAGAACCUGAACCAGCCAAGUAGCGUGCAGGAUGACGGCCCUAUGGGUUGUAAACUGCUUUUGUACGGGGAUAAAGGANCCCACGUGUGGGUUUUUGCAGGUACCGUACGAAUAAGGACCGGCUAAUUCCGUGCCAGCAGCCGCGGUAAUACGGAAAGGUCCGGGCGUUAUCCGGAUUUAUUGGGUUUAAAGGGAGCGCAGGCCGUCGGUAAGCGUGUUGUGAAAUGUAGCGCCCAACGCCUGCACUGCAGCGCGAACUGGCUGACUUGAGUACGCACGACGUUGGCGGAAUUUGCCNNGNNGCNGNUGAAAUGCUUAGAUA